This is a small nuclear RNA of Jaculus jaculus (lesser Egyptian jerboa), 106 nucleotides long. The record is from RefSeq and is a predicted model, not a curated record. NCBI's taxonomy places the organism in Eukaryota, Metazoa, Chordata, Mammalia, Rodentia, Dipodidae.
GUACUUGCUUAGGCAGCACAUAUACUAAAUUGUAACGAUACAGGGAAUAUUAGCAUGGCCCCUGUGCAAGGACAAUAUGCAAAUGUGUGAAGUGUUCCAUAUUUUU